GAUGAACGCUGGCGGCGUGCUUAACACAUGCAAGUCGAACGGUGAAGCAGGAGCUUGCUCUUGUGGAUCAGUGGCGAACGGGUGAGUAACACGUGAGCAACCUGCCCCUGACUCUGGGAUAAGCGCUGGAAACGGCGUCUAAUACUGGAUAUGUGAUGUGACCGCAUGGGCUGCAUCUGGAAAGAAUUUCGGUUGGGGAUGGGCUCGCGGCCUAUCAGCUUGUUGGUGAGGUAAUGGCUCACCAAGGCGUCGACGGGUAGCCGGCCUGAGAGGGUGACCGGCCACACUGGGACUGAGACACGGCCCAGACUCCUACGGGAGGCAGCAGUGGGGAAUAUUGCACAAUGGGCGGAAGCCUGAUGCAGCAACGCCGCGUGAGGGAUGACGGCCUUCGGGUUGUAAACCUCUUUUAGCAGGGAAAAAGCGAAAGUGACGGUACCUGCAGAAAAAGCACCGGCUAACUACGUGCCAGCCGCCGCAGUAA
Molecule: ribosomal RNA, 484 nt
Filed under: uncultured bacterium
Lineage: Bacteria
Description: partial 16S ribosomal RNA
Rfam family: Bacterial small subunit ribosomal RNA
Source: RNAcentral